GAGGGUAUAGCUCAGUGGUAGAGUGUGUACUUAGCAUGCAUGAAGUCCUGGGUUCAAUGCCCAGUGCCUUCA
Molecule: transfer RNA, 72 nt
Filed under: Camelus bactrianus (Bactrian camel)
Lineage: Eukaryota; Metazoa; Chordata; Mammalia; Artiodactyla; Camelidae
Also listed under: 2 other names
Rfam family: tRNA
About the family: Transfer RNA (tRNA) molecules are approximately 80 nucleotides in length. Their secondary structure includes four short double-helical elements and three loops (D, anti-codon, and T loops).
Source: Rfam by way of RNAcentral